AAAGUUGUUGCAGUUAAAAAGCUCGUAGUUGGAUUUCUGGGGCGUCGGAUGGGCCCUCGCCUCACGGCGUGUGUGUCCCGACUCUGAAUGCCCCAUCCUCGGGUGGGUCCCUCUUGGCAUUAGGUUGUUGGGAGGGGGAAGCCCGUCGUUUACUGUGAAAAAAUUAGAGUGUUCAAAGCAGGCUUAGGCCGUUGGAUACAUUAGCAUGGAAUAAUGAGAUAGGGCCUUGAUGUUUUAUUUGUUGGUUUGCACGCCAAGGUAAUGAUUAAUAGGGAUAGUUGGGGGUAUUCGUAUUCAAUUGUCAGAGGUGAAAUUCUUGGAUUUAUGGAGACGAACUACU
Molecule: ribosomal RNA, 340 nt
Filed under: Heterococcus caespitosus
Lineage: Eukaryota; Xanthophyceae; Tribonematales; Heteropediaceae
Description: SSU rRNA
Rfam family: Eukaryotic small subunit ribosomal RNA
Source: RNAcentral